Molecule: long non-coding RNA, 734 nt
Organism: Pseudophryne corroboree (corroboree frog)
Lineage: Eukaryota; Metazoa; Chordata; Amphibia; Anura; Myobatrachidae
Exons: 2
Source: RefSeq, a predicted model, not a curated record
GUGUGGGGCCAAGCACCCCGAAGCAUUAUCUUCCACCCGCCUACGGAAGCAUGUGGCUACACUUUCCAGAGUCCUCAACCUGAGCGAUACAGAGAUGGAUCAGCUUGCUGAUUUCCUUGGACAUGAUAUUCGGGUGCAUCGGCAUUAUUACCGCCUCCCGGAGGGUACCCUUCAACUGGCCAAGUUGAGCAAGCUGUUUCUGGCUCUCGAGCAAGGGAGAAUGGCUGAAUUCCGGGGCCACAAUCUGGAAGAGAUCUCCAUUGAUCCAAACGGUAGGUAUCACUUGACAGUGUGGCUCCAGGGACUGACUGUCUAAGUGGGCUGGUGUGAUCGGUUUCCCUGUCCUUCUCUAUCCACAGAGCCGAUCCAGGUGGUGAGCGAUGACUCUGGGGAUGAGCCAGAGAGUCAGGAUACUGAGGUUCCCAUGGGGCACAUGGGAAAAGAAGCCGGCAGCGUGGUGUCGGCGGUGGAUGGAGGUGCAGCUAAAGGUGACAGAAGGGGUACCAAGCGCAAUCCGUGGACCCCAGCAGAAGUGAAAGCUGUUGAACGUCACAUGAUUCGGUUCAUUCGCUCAUUCAAGGUGCCGGGCAAGAAUGACUGUGAUGCGUGCCUAAGGGCAGAACGACAAGCGCUGAAGGCUCGGAACUGGCUCUCGGUUAAGUUUUACAUUAAGAACCGAAUUACUGCUGAAAUGAGAAAGAACCUUUCCUGAAUAAAAUGUAUCUGCUGCUGAA